RNAcentral lists this ribosomal RNA (663 nucleotides) under Triticum aestivum (bread wheat). RNAcentral's name for it is "partial small subunit ribosomal RNA". Lineage: Eukaryota; Viridiplantae; Streptophyta; Magnoliopsida; Poales; Poaceae. The record is from RNAcentral.
AUGUACAGAAAGGAUAAUCGUCCGGUCGCUUGUGUUUACUCCUCGGAGGCUGGUGUAUGGGGCAAUAUCAUCUUCACAUAUGCUCGAUGUGAGCUUGCUGAUGCUAAUCCCGGAGUUCUUGUUGGUAAUGUCCUUUACUGGUCGUCUAAGUCUAUUGAUGCCGGCCAACGUUUGCGGGAUUUGGAUAGGCGCACAAACGACAUAAUUGAGUUUGAUUUGGAUACACAUAGCCUAGCUGUGAUCAAGGGGCCUCAUUGUCUUAGUAACUCACUCAGACAUCAGAUCUUCAAGGCAGAGGAUGGUUCUGUUGGUCUCACCAUGUUGUUUUAUGGUAGAUUCACAAUGUGGCGGAGGAAGAUUGAUUGUCAUGGUGUUGCCACAUGGUUAAAGCACAAGAGCAUUCAAAUGCAUCCUAUUCUUGGGCUCUCUCAUCACCUUGUGAUAUCGCCGAGAUGGAUAGAUGUACUGGGGUAUGAUGAGGAUAAUGGUGUAAUAUUUUUACAUGUGGACGCCAGUGUCUACAUGGUUCAACUGAUGUCGAUGCAAUCCAAGAAACUUUAUCGAAGCUAUUGUCCCAAUAAUAGAUGUCACCCUUUCACAAGUUUCUAUGCACCAGCCAUUCCUGGUGUAUGCGAUGGAGCUGAAAUGUUGCACGAUACGUAG